This 211-nucleotide ribosomal RNA is filed under the name uncultured bacterium. Its description in RNAcentral is "partial 16S ribosomal RNA". It matches the Rfam family "Bacterial small subunit ribosomal RNA", at positions 28 to 233 of the family's 1533-position model. The record is from RNAcentral.
GACGAACGCUGGCGGCGUGCUUAACACAUGCAAGUCGAGCGGUAAGGCCCUUUCGGGGUACGACGAGCGGCGAACGGGUGAGUAACACGUGGGUGACCUCGCCCUCCAGCUCUGGGAGUAAGCCCGGGAAACCGUGGGUCGUAAUACCGGAUAUGACUCCAUGACGCAUGUUGGUGGGGUGGAAAGCCUUGUGCGGCUGAGGAUGGGCCCG